AGAGUUUGAUCAUGGCUCAGGAUAAACGCUGGCGGCGUGCCUAACACAUGCAAGUCGCACGUCCUUGGUUUUCGGACCGAGGGAGUGGCGGACGGGUGAGUAACACGUGGGUACCUACCUUGGAGUGAGGGAUACCGGCGAGAAUCGCCGACAAUUCCGCAUAGGCUUGUGCAAGCAAGCAAAGCCGCAAGGCGCUCGAAGAUGGGCCCGCGUCCGAUUAGCUGGUUGGUGGGGUAAUGGCCUACCAAGGCGACGAUCGGUAGCUGGUCUGAGAGGAUGAUCAGCCACACUGGGAUUGAGAACGGCCCAGACUCCUACGGGAGGCAGCAGUGAGGAAUUUUCGGCAAUGGGCGCAAGCUUGACCGAGCAACGCCGCGUGCAGGAGGAAGGUCUUCGGAUCGUAAACUGCUUUUACCGGGGAAGAGAACGGACGGUACCCGGUGAAUAAGCCCCGGCUAACUACGUGCCAGCAGCCGCGGUAAUACGUAGGGGGCGAGCGUUAUCCGGAAUUACUGGGCGUAAAGCGCACGCAGGCGGUCGACCAAGUUCAAGGCGACAGUCACGAGCUUAACUCGUGAAGGACUUUGAAAACUGGCCGACUGGAGAGCGAGAGAGGGGCAUGGAACUCCAGGUGGAGCAGUGAAAUGCGUAGAGAUCUGGAAGAACACCAAAGGCGA
This 677-nucleotide ribosomal RNA is filed under the name uncultured Chloroflexota bacterium. RNAcentral describes it as "bacterial SSU rRNA". It matches the Rfam family "Bacterial small subunit ribosomal RNA", at positions 8 to 718 of the family's 1533-position model. Lineage: Bacteria; Bacillati; Chloroflexota. The record is from RNAcentral.